Haemorhous mexicanus (house finch) is the source of this 1019-nucleotide long non-coding RNA. RefSeq lists it as uncharacterized. The transcript has 3 exons. NCBI's taxonomy places the organism in Eukaryota, Metazoa, Chordata, Aves, Passeriformes, Fringillidae. The record is from RefSeq and is a predicted model, not a curated record.
CGCGGCCGCUCCGUGCGCCGGCCAGUGCCAGGCGCCCCGCGUCACCCCCUGCGCGAGCUCUCCGGAGGCGGUGGGGAGCAGCUUGCCGCCGGUGUUGGUGGCCGGAGGCCGCCGCUCAGGAGUUUCUAGACUGCAGAAAAAUGCGGAUGACUCGACAGUGAAAUUUUUUGUUGCCUCUGAAAGUAACGUUUUAUGAGCUACCGUUAUAUCAGUGCUGCGUGCUCCUACUUCAGUACCUUAUCCAUCUUAUGCGGAGCUGCAGGAACAAUGACCAUCUGGGUGAAAAUAGAGUAUUUUAGAAAAACACCUUUUGUGUCCCAUGUCUGCAUUUAAAGAAUGUCUGUUUAGUAUUGGGUUUGAGAAGUAAAUACUACAGGGAAUUUUUUCAGCAUGACUUACCAAACUUUAUGGCUUCAAAGGAAGAAAUAGAAGCUUCAUUUUCAGUACUUCCUUAGGAUGCUGUUUAUUUGAUGAAACUAUUAUGCCAUAAAACCAGAAAGACUUGUGAAGGAUGAUGGUCUCUGGCAAUGUUUAUCCACACAAAUCACUUCCUUUCUUGGAAUCAGAAGUGUUCUUAUAUAGAGCACGAAACACAAAGAGCAGAAAUCCAAGAGUUAAACCAAAGCACACUAUUAAAUAAAGGCACUAUUGGGAGAACAUGGAAAGGCAAUGUCAAUGUGGGCCUGAGAGAUUCUGAGUCUUCUUCCAAUGUCCUGUUCCCCUGUUUGUUCCACACAGAUCACCACCACACAGGCAUUCUUCAGGAGGAGGAACAUGCAAGCAGAAUUCCCUCAUUUCAGACAGGAAGAGGUUGUUGAAUAAUGGGAAUAUACUUUUGGAGAAUGUAUUAUAGGUCUGGUGGAAAAACCCUCAUUAACUAAUGCAAACUAACCCUGAUUAACUAAUGCAAACUCUUUUCCCAAGGUGGUUUGCAUCUCACUGCAAGUUCCCAUUAUUUUGUUCAGAAGUAGAAAUGUGGAAUUUAGGCAAAUGUGGAAAUGCUCAUUUGUUGAAGAAAG